This 250-nucleotide ribosomal RNA is filed under the name uncultured bacterium. RNAcentral describes it as "partial 16S ribosomal RNA". It matches the Rfam family "Bacterial small subunit ribosomal RNA", at positions 524 to 773 of the family's 1533-position model. The record is from RNAcentral.
UACGUAGGGUGCAAGCGUUAAUCGGAAUUACUGGGCGUAAAGCGUGCGCAGGCGGUUCUUUAAGACAGAUGUGAAAUCCCCGGGCUUAACCUGGGAACUGCAUUUGUGACUGAAGAGCUAGAGUACGGCAGAGGGGGAUGGAAUUCCGCGUGUAGCAGUGAAAUGCGUAGAUAUGCGGAGGAACACCGAUGGCGAAGGCAGUCCCCUGGGCCUGUACUGACGCUCAUGCACGAAAGCGUGGGGAGCAAAC